This 274-nucleotide ribosomal RNA is filed under the name uncultured bacterium. RNAcentral's name for it is "partial 16S ribosomal RNA". It matches the Rfam family "Bacterial small subunit ribosomal RNA", at positions 523 to 796 of the family's 1533-position model. The record is from RNAcentral.
AUACGGAGGAUGCAAGCGUUACUCGGAAUCACUGGGCGUAAAGCGCGCGCAGGCGGGCUGAUAAGUUGGAUGUGAAAGCCUACGGCUCAACCGUAGAACUGCAUCCAAAACUGUCAGUCUAGAGUGUGGGAGAGGAAGAUGGAAUUAGUUGUGUAGGGGUAAAAUCCGUAGAGAUAACUAGGAAUACCAAAAGCGAAGGCAAUCUUCUGGAACACUACUGACGCUGAGGCGCGAAGGCGUGGGGAGCAAACAGGAUUAGAAACCCCGGUAGUCC